RNAcentral lists this ribosomal RNA (443 nucleotides) under uncultured bacterium. Its description in RNAcentral is "partial 16S ribosomal RNA". It matches the Rfam family "Bacterial small subunit ribosomal RNA", at positions 338 to 795 of the family's 1533-position model. The record is from RNAcentral.
CCUACGGGAGGCAGCAGUGGGGAAUAUUGGACAAUGGGGGGAACCCUGAUCCAGCGACGCCGCGUGAGUGAAGAAGUAUUUCGGUAUGUAAAGCUCUAUCAGCAGGGAAGAAAGAAAUGACGGUACCUGACUAAGAAGCCCCGGCUAACUACGUGCCAGCAGCCGCGGUAAUACGUAGGGGGCAAGCGUUAUCCGGAUUUACUGGGUGUAAAGGGAGCGUAGACGGCGAUGCAAGUCUGAAGUGAAAGGCGGGGGCCCAACCCCCGGACUGCUUUGGAAACUGUAUGGCUGGAGUGCAGGAGAGGUAAGUGGAAUUCCUAGUGUAGCGGUGAAAUGCGUAGAUAUUACGCAGAACCCCGAUUGCGAAGGCAGCAUACCGGUGCACAACUGACGCUCAGGCACGAAAGCGUGGGUAUCGAACAGGAUUAGAUACCCGGGUAGUC